RNAcentral lists this ribosomal RNA (1962 nucleotides) under bioreactor sludge metagenome. RNAcentral describes it as "eukaryotic LSU rRNA". It matches the Rfam family "Eukaryotic large subunit ribosomal RNA", at positions 1097 to 3401 of the family's 3401-position model. The record is from RNAcentral.
GGAAAGCUACAAAAGAAUUGGCGUUAUGAGUGGGCUCUGACCGGUAAGCGGUCAUGGCGAAAUGGGAUGAACCAUACGUCAAGAUAAGGUGCCUAAGUAUACCAUCACUGAUACCAUUAAGAGAGUCCAUGUAUUUAGACAGCAGGUCGGUGCCCCUAAAAGUAGGUAUCCGCUAAUGAGUGUGUUAAAACUCCCCUGCCGAAUACUAGGGCCUCGAAAAUGAAUGGCGCAUAUGGUAUCACCGAUACUUGACACUUCUUCGGACGAAGAAGGAGUAGGGGGAUGUGGACAUUUUUGCGAAGGCGUCAUGUGAGUGGCGCUUGAAGAGUGUCUAUUACAGAUCCUAAUUGAAGUAGCGUUUAUCCAGGUUAACAUCCUGGGGGCUGAUGAGGAGUAGGGUUUCUGGGCAACAUAAACUGUCCCAGAGUUAGUCGAUCCUGAUCCCAACAACGGGAGAAAGGGAGUACGGUUGACAUUCCGUAACUGACAACAGGUCGCGGCAACGCUUUCUAUCUUUCUCCGCCGAUUCUAUACCGUUUGGCAGGGAUCUCUUUCCUGUAUGACAAUAGUAAUAUCCGAGGAAUCAGGUCAACUGGGGAUUCGCGAUGUUCUAUUGGCAAAAUGCAGCUUUUGUUGCAUCAUUGGCUAUUGGAUUGGUCCAUGAAGCGAGAGAUAGAUUCCUGUGUCAUUCGUACCGAUGACCGCAUCAGGUCUCCGAGGUGAGUAGCCUAUGGCCAUUGAGGCAUGAUAGUUCAGGGAAUUCGGCCAAUUAGAGCUGUAACUUCGGGAUAAAGCUUGGCUCUGAUGAAAAUCAGAACCGAUUGUUACGAGGAGAGCCCAACUGUUUAAUAAAAACACAGCGUCGCGCUGUUCUCUUAUAGGAAGUUAACGCGACGUGAAUCCUGCUCAGUGCUGUGUCUGUUAAUAUGGUUCAAGCCAACGAAGCACCGGUAAAUAGCUGGGGUAACUAUGACUCUUAUCAAAGUAGCGAAAUACCUCGUCACUUAAUUAGUGACCUGCAUGAACGGAGCAACGAGGUUCUCACUGUCCCAAACUGUCUCUCAGCGAACCAUCUGUAGUGGGAACGGUCACUAACUAUCCAGCGGGGAAAGAAGACCCUGUAGAGCUUCACUUUGGUCUAGUCUUGUAUAGUUCUGGCGGGGGUGCAGACUAGGUGGGAGAGCAAUCGAUUAUGAGAAACCACUACCCUGUUUGGAAUUAUGCUUACCUCCUUGAGGAAUCGGACUAGAUAGAAAGUUUGGCUGGGGCGGCACACCUUCGAAAAUGCAGCGAAGGUGUCCUAAGUUGAGCUCAGUGAGGACAGAAAUCUCACGUUGAGGAUAAGGCCAAAAGCUCAAUUUACUGUGCCUUUUUGUACUAGGACCAGUUUGGAAACAAAGGCCUAACGAUCCCUAAUUAGUCUUAGGUGCGUAAGACUUGGGGUGACAGACAAGUUACCUCCGGGACAACUGGCUUGUGGCUGCUAAGAGAUCAAAUCAACGCAGCUUUUUGAUUCUUCGAUGUCGGCUCUUCCUAUCCUAGUGAUGUACAAGUUACUAAGGGUUGGAUUGUUCACCCGUAUUAGGGAUCGUGAGCUGGGUUUAGACCGUCGUGAGCCAGGUUUGUUUUAUCCUACUGGAUAUACCAUCAUGAUAGUAGUUUGAUUUAGUACGAGAGGAACUGUUGAAUAUGGCCUCUGGUUAGCGGUUUUGGGAAACCGAACGCCGCGCAGCUACGCCGUCUGGGAUAAUGGCUGAAGGCCUCUUAAGCCAGAAACUCAUCUAGAAAAUGAUGGAUUAUGUACGAUCUCCUGCAGAAUAAUUUAUUUUCGUGGAGCAGUACGUAUGGUAACCCAAUGUAGAAGACAUUGUGUCAACGAGGGUCCUGUAAGUGGUGGAGUGGCAUUACGUCCACGACCUAUUGAGGGUCAGCCUUGUUUGUUGGUUUCCAAUAUUUGGAAUA